CGGGUGAGUGGCGGACGGGUGAGUAACGCGUGGGAAUCUGCCCUCAGGAGGGGGAUAACGGCUGGAAACGGCCGCUAAUACCCCAUAUGCCGAGAGGUGAAACGAAUUUCGCCUGAGGAUGAGCCCGCGUCUGAUUAGCUAGUUGGUGGGGUAAUGGCCCACCAAGGCGACGAUCAGUAGCUGGUCUGAGAGGAUGAUCAGCCACACUGGGACUGAGACACGGCCCAGACUCCUACGGGAGGCAGCAGUGGGGAAUUUUCCGCAAUGGGCGAAAGCCUGACGGAGCAACGCCGCGUGAGGGAUGAAGGCCUCUGGGCUGUAAACCUCUUUUCUCAAGGAAGAAGACAUGACGGUACUUGAGGAAUAAGCCACGGCUAAUUCCGUGCCAGCAGCCGCGGUAAUACGGGAGUGGCAAGCGUUAUCCGGAAUUAUUGGGCGUAAAGCGUCCGCAGGCGGCCCUGUAAGUCUGUCGUUAAAGCGUGGAGCUUAACUCCAUUUAAGCGAUGGAAACUACAGGGCUUGAGUGUGGUAGGGGCAGAGGGAAUUCCCGGUGUAGCGGUGAAAUGCGUAGAUAUCGGGAAGAACACCAGUGGCGAAGGCGCUCUGCUGGGCCAUAACUGACGCUCAUGGACGAAAGCCAGGGGAGCGAAAGGGAUUAGAUACCCCUGUAGUCCUGGCCGUAAACGAUGAACACUAGGUGUCGGGGGAAUCGACCCCCUCGGUGUCGUAGCCAACGCGUUAAGUGUUCCGCCUGGGGAGUACGCACGCAAGUGUGAAACUCAAAGGAAUUGACGGGGGCCCGCACAAGCGGUGGAGUAUGUGGUUUAAUUCGAUGCAACGCGAAGAACCUUACCAGGGUUUGACAUCCUGCGAAUCCCUUGGAAACUAGGGAGUGCCUUCGGGAGCGCAGAGACAGGUGGUGCAUGGCUGUCGUCAGCUCGUGUCGUGAGAUGUUGGGUUAAGUCCCGCAACGAGCGCAACCCACGUCUUUAGUUGCCAGCAUUCAGUUGGGCACUCUAGAGAGACCGCCGGUGAUAAACCGGAGGAAGGUGUGGAUGACGUCAAGUCAUCAUGCCCCUUACAUCCUGGGCUACACACGUACUACAAUGCUACGGACAAAGGGCAGCAAGCUCGCGAGAGUUAGCAAAUCCCAUAAACCGUGGCUCAGUUCAGAUCGUAGGCUGCAACUCGCCUACGUGAAGGAGGAAUCGCUAGUAAUCGCAGGUCAGCAUACUGCGGUGAAUACGUUCCCGGGCCUUGUACACACCGCCCGUCACACCAUGGAAGUUGGCCAUGCCCGAAGUCGUUACUCCAACCC
RNAcentral lists this ribosomal RNA (1318 nucleotides) under metagenome. RNAcentral's name for it is "bacterial SSU rRNA". It matches the Rfam family "Bacterial small subunit ribosomal RNA", at positions 88 to 1441 of the family's 1533-position model. The record is from RNAcentral.